Molecule: ribosomal RNA, 515 nt
Filed under: uncultured Lactococcus sp.
Lineage: Bacteria; Bacillati; Bacillota; Bacilli; Lactobacillales; Streptococcaceae
Description: bacterial SSU rRNA
Rfam family: Bacterial small subunit ribosomal RNA
Source: RNAcentral
GGGUCUGAAAGAUGGCGUAAGCUAUCGCUUUUGGAUGGACCCGCGGCGUAUUAGCUAGUUGGUGAGGUAACGGCUCACUAAGGCAAUGAUACGUAGCCGAACUGAGAGGUUGAUCGGCCACAUUGGGACUGAGACACGGCCCAAACUCCUACGGGAGGCAGCAGUAGGGAAUCUUCCACAAUGGACGCAAGUCUGAUGGAGCAACGCCGCGUGAGUGAAGAAGGCUUUCGGGUCGUAAAACUCUGUUGUUGGAGAAGAAUGGUCGGCAGAGUAACUGUUGUCGGCGUGACGGUAUCCAACCAGAAAGCCACGGCUAACUACGUGCCAGCAGCCGCGGUAAUACGUAGGUGGCAAGCGUUAUCCGGAUUUAUUGGGCGUAAAGCGAGCGCAGGCGUUUUUUAAGUCUGAUGUGAAAGCCCUCGGCUUAACCGAGGAAGUGCAUCGGAAACUGGGAAACUUGAGUGCAGAAGAGGACAGUGGAACUCCAUGUGUAGCGGUGAAAUGCGUAGAUAUAU